GGAUUCGCUGUAAACCAUGAUAACGAUGAUCUUGAGAAAUAAUAAAUAAAGGGUGUCUUCUAAAUUGAGAGAUGGACAACAAUGACCCCUGGCGGACAUGGAGAUCUGUGCACGUGCAAGGGUCCGGAAGUUAAAUUAAAUAGAGAGCAACAAACACAGUUGCGAAAUUGCACGGUUGACUGAAAACGUUUCAUUUUUAAAUCAAGAGCAUUUAUAACGGCAUGGCAUUAAUAAUGGCUAAAACGUAAACUAACAAACUUGCUCAGGGUCGAAGAAAACUGUUGCUUAGCAACCAGUCGUCAAACAAUCACUUGCGUGGUCCACAGAACAAGAAAAAGAACUGAAUGCUUUAAGCUACCGUAAAAAUAACAAAUUCAGGGAGUUUUAUGUUUUGCUUUCCCAUUAGUUUUAUAUUUUUAUAUCGUUUCCUGUAAAUACAGCUUCAUCCACGAAUGGCAGGGAAGAAGAAAGAGGCAAGCCUGCAGGCAUCAGUUAUGAACCAAGAACAAUGGGAGGAAAUACUUACUACCAAAGGUUUGACAGUUGUGGAUGUUUACCAGCAGUGGUGUGGCCCCUGUCGAGCAGUGGUUAGUCUCCUCCGAAAGAUAAAGAAUGAACUCAGUGAUGACCUACUGCAUUUUGCCACUGCUGAAGCCGACAGUAUUGAUGCCCUGGAGAAGUAUCGAGGAAAAUGCGAACCCACCUUCCUUUUCUUUGGAGGUGGGGAGUUGGUGGCUGUGCUGCGAGGGGCCAAUGCUCCGAUGCUCCAGAGGAUGAUUGUGGAGGAGCUGGUCAAGGAAAAGCUGGUCAUGGAGAAAGGCAGUGGUCGCAAAGUGGUGAAGGAUUUUGGUCUGUUAAAUGAAGAGAAGAGAGAGGAGGAAGAGCUUCAGCAGCCACAAAAUGAAGAAAGUAUAAUUGUUCCUGCCAGUAAAGCCUACACAGUUGCCAUCAUUAAGCCUGACGCAGUUGCUCAUGGGAAGGCAAAUGAGAUCAUUAUGAAGAUUCAAGAUGCUGGGUUUGAGAUUCUUGCACACGAGGAGCGCACUCUGACUGAAACGGAGGCUCGAGAUUUUUACCAACAUAAAGCAGCGGAGGCUUGCUUUGAGGACUUGGUGCAGUUCAUGUCCAGCGGUCCGUCCUAUAUUCUAGUGCUUUCUCAGAUAGAGGGCACGGCCAAUAUCAUAUCAGCAUGGCGUGAGUUCAUUGGCCCAGCAGAUAUAGAGGAAGCCAGGAGAGAAAAGCCCGAAAGCAUACCUGGAAAGGAUCCCAGUUCUGGGUCUGGAGUAGGGAGCGAACAGCACAUUCUCGCCUGCUUGAUCAGACACACCCAAACAUUAUGCUUCUCUUUGGUUGAGCACCAGCCGAGCAUCCAUCUGGUCCUCUCUUCCUCCUUCCCCACCCGACUUCCUGCAGCUUGCGGGCACAAUACGGCACAGAGACGCUGUUCAACGCAGUGCAUGGCAGUGCGGACAGCGACCAGGCCAACAGGGAGCUCGCCUUCUUCUUCCCCAACUUUAGGACGGCCUCCGACGCAGAGCAGGAUGGGGAGGAAGAGCGUGUGGAGAGGACGCUGGCUCUCAUCCGACCCGACGUUGCCAGGGAGAACAGAGAUGAGAUUUUGGCCCAGAUUCACAAGUCAGGUUUCACAGUCGCCCUUCAAAAAGAGUGGGCCUGUACUGGCAUUAGCUCUGGUCAGGAAAGGAGCUGUCCAUCACUGGAAGAACAUCCUCGGUCCUCCUGACCUUCACAAAGCCAAAGAAGAGGAUCCUGAGUGUCUGAGGGCCAAAUUUGCUGUAGAAAAUGAGCCCAUCAACCAGCUUCAUGGCAGCGCAAAUCCCGAAGAGGCAGAAAGAGAGCUGAACUUUUUCUUUCCUCAACAACGAACGCUGGCAGUCAUCAAACCCGAUGCUCUGGAGGAACACCGAGAUACGAUUUUGGAAGAGAUUCAGGGGAGAGGCUUCACCGUGGCGCAGCUGAAGGAGACUUUGCUGUCAAGAGAGAUGGCUGAGGAGUUUUACAAGGAGCAAAGGGAGAAGCCAUUCUUCACGCAGCUGGUGGAUUUUAUGUGUCGGUUGGUUUGUCCCCACACACGAACACAGGAGCAAGGCAAACAGACCAGCUCCUUUUUCUCAUCUUCAAUUUAUACUGUGAUAUUGGAAGCUUAGAGUCAAGGCAGCCUGGGGCCAGAGGCUUGGAAGUCAAUCUCAGUUUCAUUCUUUGUUCAACAUCACAUCCAGUCUCUAGACUUAUCUUCCGCUCCGAUUAGUCCCUUCACCAGGUUGUUACACAACCGCUAGGCAGAGGAGCGACUGUGCGCAUCAGACUCAGAUCGUGAGCUGAUAUGAGCUUAGAUUGUAUUCUUGUUCCUGUUUUGUUGAGAUUAAGUCAAAGAGAGUGACAUACUCCUAGCAACAGCUGAAUUGUUAGAGGGAGGCGGCUGUGCUUUAAAGGGUAACCUUUCCCUGUAGCGUAUUUUUCAGCAGCUCUUUAGUAGCUUAUUUCAGGGAGCUGAGUUUCAGGAAUUGGCUGGUAUAAAACUCAUCUGAUUAGAUAAGCUGGAAUGAAAAUGUCAUCGUGUUAAAACUAAAAAUUCUAGGCAAAAAUUAACAACAUGUUCAAAUUGCUUUCAUUUAAAAUGGUAGAGGUAUAAUAAAGUUGAAUCUAGUCAGUUUACAAGCAAACAUAUUGCUGCUGGUCUGGCAUUCAUGAAGUAACACAGGUAACCUGAUAUUAGCUUGGUUAUCAGUAGCCAGCCAGCAGUCGUACAACAUAUGACUCACUAAAUGCAGUUCAAGAAAAAAGCAUUUCCUUUAAUAGGAGUGAUGGCUGAUGCUCCAUUGGUUUCCAUACCAUGACCGUUGUAUUUUUGUGAAUUUUUUCCAAACAACUAAACAUUUCUUUCUAUGGAAGGGAAAAGUGUAGCUACUUUUUUAGCCAACGCACUGACAGUCAGAGGGUCUGCAGUGAUUUGCUUUUCUGUCCUCCAUACAGCCAGGAAAACUCUAGUAAUUUGGUUUUUGCAUUUUUCAGAUUGUAACUUUUACAUAACUUUUGUAUAUACCAUGCAUGACUCAUGCCUAGUUGUGAGCUAAGUUUGCAGUAAUAAUUGGAAAUCAAUAAAUCCUAAUCUGAACCAAAAGCUGUAGAAAUCCUCCACUUGCACUUGUACCAGCUCCUUUCUAAGCUUAUUUAACUGCAAACUACUGCUGCUUGAGAAAGUUAUCAUGCAAUUACAGAACAAUCCAAAUAAAUUUUGUCGCUCCACAUUUUUUUAUAUUUAGUAUAAAAUAAUUAAAUCAGCUAUAUUAUUUUAUAGUAAUUUCAAAGUUCCUUUUAAUAGUUUUUCAGGUGAUUUUUCAAUUUUUCUGAGGAUGAUUUUCACUCAUUAUUGCUACAAACUUGUUGCAAAGACACAAUUUUUUCCUGUUUUAAUGAGUAAAUCUUUGAAAAAUAUGAACCAUAGCAGUUUGACAGACAGGAAAUAGUGUUUUAUCACUGACAAAGAGCGUUUUGCAAACAAACAUCUAAUGCAGAACCUGAAGAAUGUUCUCACAGGCCCUUUGCCAGGUCUUGCAAUUUUUUGGUUUUGCUCUUAUAUUCUUAAAAAAAUAAAUAAAAACAUGACUUUCAGAUGCUUCACUUCUGCUGUGGAUAGUUCUUGUGUUCCUGAACACUUCUCCUUUUGUCCUAUUUCUCUCCGUAGCAAAGCUUUUUACUAGUCACUACACAAUCUGAAGUCCAAAAAAAUAUUUGAAAGAUCAUCAAAAAGUAUGAAGAUCACAAAACGAUGUGGCUCAUUAGAAUGGGCCCUGCAUGAUGCUCGUCUUGACCAAGGAGAAUGCAGUGGAGGAGUGGCGGGCCAUGAUGGGCCCCAGCAAUCCAGAGAAAGCUAAAGAAAUCUCCCCACAGUCUCUGAGGGCCCGCUUUGCUGCCGACAUCCUCC
Molecule: RNA transcript, 3943 nt
Organism: Xiphophorus couchianus (Monterrey platyfish)
Lineage: Eukaryota; Metazoa; Chordata; Actinopteri; Cyprinodontiformes; Poeciliidae
Gene name: thioredoxin domain-containing protein 3 homolog
Exons: 15
Source: RefSeq, a predicted model, not a curated record